GGGGAAAUAAUAUGUGAACACCUUGACCAAGACACCUGUGCUUACGCGGUGGCGUCCACAGGCAAGCGCUGUGUGCUCGAGAAGCACGUCAAGAGGAGCGGUGAAGAAGAAUACACUUGCCGUACCUCCGAGAUCGAAGCCGAUAAGAUCAACAACUGGAUCGAAACUGAUCAGUGCGUUAAAUCGUGCGGCCUCGACCGGAAAUCAUUCGGUAUCUCCUCCGAUUCCCUCCUCGAGUCUCGCUUCACCGAAAUGCUUUGCUCUCCUCAAUGCUACAACGGUUGCCCCAACGUCAUCGAUCUUUACUUCAACCUCGCCGCCGGAGAAGGUAACAUUUUAGUUUUAGCGUUAAAUAACUACUCGAAUACGAGACCCAACAUAACCGUGUCUUGUCUUUGGCAGGUAUUUUUCUUCCGAAAUUAUGUGAAGCACAAAAAGGAAACAUACGUAGAGGAAUGUCGGAGAUUUGGAGCUCCGGUAUGGUUGCCCCGGGACCCGUCGGCGGUGUGAAGUUUUGGGGAGUUGCUCCGGCAAUGGCCCCAUACUAAAAGCUUUCGGGAAAUUUUCAUAAAGUUGUAGUAGUUUUGAAAUAAAGGGAAAGUUGCACUAUAGCUAAGGGUUUUUCUUAAAGCCGGGUUCUUUAAGUGCAUGAACCGGCGUAUAAUUUGGUUCGUGCAUAAUUUUGAGCCAUGAGCUUGGUGUGUUCAACCCAAUAAGAUGCCACUUUCUAUUAAAUAGGUUUUCUUAUUGUAAUGGGUGUGAAAAAGAAACAAUGUUAUGAAAUUUAUAUAAGUAUACUUAUAUUUGUGUGAUUUAUUCUAAAUUUGCAACCUUUCUUUGUGUUAAUAUUACGGGAUGGAAAAUGAUCCAAAAAAUGAAAAUCAUAAUUACUUCCUGAGUUUGUUUUUUUUUUCCCUUUAAAUAACACCGUGCAUUGUAGUUUAAACCCUCCCAAAAGCACAACGCUGCCUAUUUUUCUUCAAAUUUUGACUGCCAAAAGAAUAAAUGUGCUCCAUAAUCGAGGAAUCAACUAAUUGAUAUAUUUAUUUCAAAGGCCCAGUUUAUUGCUUUGUUGCAAAUCAUAAUAUAACAACCCGUUUUUUAGUGGUGUCCGAAACAGUAGUUUCGGGACCAUCAAGUUCGACGAGUAAGUUCGUAAAUAUUAUUAUUUAAUAUUUACAUGUUAAAUGUGAUUUUUAAAAAGGUUUUUGAUUUGAUAAUUUAUGUUAUAUAAGUGAUUUAUUAAGUCCAAAUGGUUUUAGAAAAUAAGGUACCGGGACUUUGUUUUUAUAAAUUGAGCCGUAAAUAUUUAUAAAAUAUUUACGGAGUGUCAUCGAGGUAGUAUUAAAGUUCUGUUAAGAAAUUUUAAUGUUUCGAUAGUUAAUUAAUUAAAAAGGAUCAAGUUAAAAAAAGUGCAUUCCAGGGACUCCGUUCCCGUAAAUCGGACUCGUAAAUAGGAGUUAGUUGUGUAGUUAAUUAGGUUUCAGUUAAGUGAAUUUGCUUGAAUUAAAAGUAAUUAGGUACAAGGACUAAAUUGCAUAUAGGGUAAAAGUUGAAUUAUAUCUUAAAGAAAAUUAAGGGACUAAAGAAGCAAUUAUGCCAUUGACAUUAAUUGAGGUGGCAUAAGUAAGAUAUUUGUGAAUUUAUUAUAUAUAUUAUAAAAUAAAAACCUUAAGUAUUAAGUAUAUAUAUUAUAUUAUAUAAUAAAUUAAUGUAUAAUAAACAAUUGUUUAAAGUUCAAUUGGUUAGUGUCCCUUUUUCUUUUAAUUUUUAUGUUUUUGGAAUCCCGGUAUUAAAUACUACAAGAUCCAUGUCAAAAUUUUAGAAAUUAUUAAGUUUUUAAAUGUUGUUAAUGUUGAAUAAUUUUAGUAUUAGGGAUUAAAUUGAUAGAUUUUUAAGUUACAAGUGAAAAAGAAUUGAAUUUUAAAAUAAAUUGUAAAUUUUGAGUAAUAGGGACUAAAUUGUGAAAAAUUCAAAAUUUAAAGAUUUAAGUGAAACUAGAGAGUUAAAUCUAGUUUAAAGUGGAAAUUGAAUGAAAAUAUAGAAUUGAUUGUGAAGAAAUAAAAGUAGUCUCGGUUUAGGGACUAAAUUGGAAUUUAGACAAAUGUUGAGUAAAAAUUGAAAUAUGCAAUAUGGAAUUGAAUUGUAUUGUAUUGAUGAAUUUUAAUUUAUUUAUUGCACAACUAAAGUCAUACCGAAAUCCUAGACUAAAAAGGGGAAAGAUAAAGUCAACGAGGAAUAGCUUGGAAUUUCUGAUUUGUAUUUCUAAAAUCUGAAUCUAGUUAUUAAUAGUUGUAUUUUGAUUUAAUGCUUAUGGUAAGUGGUUGAGGUGAGUAUUUGACACUUUGACAUUGAAUUGAAUUAAAAGUUGAUUGAAUGGAUUGAACUGAUUUUUUGAAUUGAAAUGAAUAUAUAUGUGCAAAUAUGAUAAUUGAAUAUUGGUUGUAUUUGGAAAGUGAAAUUAAACCCUAUUAACUGUAUCGGGCUGAGUCGGAUAUAGAUGGCAUGUCAUAAGAUUGGAAGAGUUCAGGGAUUUCUUCGACUUCGAUUCGAUGAGACACUGGGUGUCAAUUUACUACUUCAGAUUAAUUCGAUGAGGCACUGGAUGCCAAUUUACUUCGGUUUAGCCGAUGAGACACUGGGUGUCAAAUUAUUACUUUGAAUUAUCCGAUGAGGCACUGGGUGCCAAACUGGUGAGGUGGUUGGAUCCGUGUAUCUGUUCGAGUCAGAGUCGUGUGAAUAGGGGUAAAUGAAUAAAUAAGUUCUAUAAUUGAUAUUGAAAUAGUAUAGUAUGAGAAAUGGAAAUGAAAUAGCUAAUUGAGUAUGGAAUGAAUAAAGCAACUGUAUAAAUGAAAUGUGAGUUAAACUGUGAAAAACUAUUUAUAUAGCAAGCAUGAGAAUUGAGAUAUUUGUGAAACAAGUGAAAAAUGAUAUGGUUGUUGUAAUAUUUAAAUAUUAAUAUGUGUUUAUAUUUCAAUUGUAUAUUUGUAAUUUUUUAUCUUUAAAUAUUCGGAUUAUAGAAAUACCACUAAGUUUUACUCAGCGUAUGAUUUUGUUUCCCUUGCGCAAGUUAGGUACUUAACUUUUGAUCGUCCAUUCAACAUCUAACAAUGAGCCCGAACUCAAAUGUGGUGAUAUUUAUCCUUUGUGUUGGCAUGUCGUUAGGGUGUCUAAAUAAUAGUUAUUUUGUGAUUUGAUUGCAAAUGAGGUUAUAAGUUUAAUUUUGAUUGGUUUUAUACAUAUAAAUAUGUGUUUGUUUUUGAAGACAUAUUAUGGCAUGAUAAAUUGAACAAAUCUAGAUAGGUGCAUGUGAAUUUAAUUCUAUGUUUAAGUGCUCAUAAACUAGGCAAAUUGAUUUGGAUUUGGUAUGUUUAUAUUUUGGAUUAAAAUGAUGCUUUGAUGACUUGUUUUAAUGAUAUAAAAUGUUUGAAAUUUCUAUCUGUUUGAUCUGUAAACUCCGGUAAUGCUUCGUAACCUAGUUCCAGUGAGGGAUACGGGUUGGGGGUGUUUCACAUAACUAAUCUUAUCUAUGUUGAAUUAGGCGAAGUUGGGAUUUAUUUGAAGUUUGAUUUAAUAUAAUACACAAAUUUAAAAAAGGUUUAUAUGUUUAAAAAUAUCUUAAGAAAAUAUAAAUAAAUUUAUGUAUUAAUUUCACAUCCAAUUAAGUUUUUGUCAUUAAUUAAAAUAAUCAAUUAAGUCCCUCUAUUAACGGUAUUUGUCAUUGAUUAUGUUGACCGUUAAAAUAAAUUAGCGAACCAAUCAAAUGGUGACACGUGAUAAUUUUUGGUUUAAUCUAGUAUUUUUCUAAUAAAAGUGAUUAAAAUAUCACAAAAAAAAUGAAAAUUGUUAUAAACUUGUAAAAAUUAUAAUUGAAUUCCACAAUAGCCAUCACUUUUGCUUCCCAUUCUUUUGGCAGGUUAUUGAGUAAUCUAGUCAUCAUUUCUUUGUUGGAAUAAGCCUUUCCAAGUGCCUCCAAUCCAUUAAUGAUGUUGGUCAAUCUAUUAGACAUGUCUUUGAUGCUCUCCUCCGUCUUCAUCUUGAAAAGCUCAUAGUCAAGUGUGAGUAAAUCAAUCUUGCAUUCCUUGGCUUGGCUUGUUCUUUCAUGAAUAGUGGCAAGUUUGUCCCAAAUCUCCUUGGCACUUCGACAUUGGGACACUUUAUUAUACUCAUUAGGUCAUAAUGCACAAAAAAGGGCGUGUGUUGCCUUAGCAUUGAGUUGAGCCUUCUUUUUGUCACAUUCUUCCUACUCAUCUUCUGUAACAGCCCAAUUUUCAGUAGUUUCAGAACAGUGAUUUGAGAUCACUAAAUUCGAUGAAAAAGUUAGAAAAUUUUAUUAAUUAAUAAUUAUAAGUUAAGCGUGAUUUUAGAAAUAUUUUUGAAUGAGUGAAUUUUAUGAUUUUAAGAAAAAAUUAUUAGGUAAAUUGGGUCAAAAACGAGGUAUCGAGACCUCAAUAUUAUAAACUGAGUUGUAAAUAUUUUUAAAAAUAUUUACGGAGUGUCGUUAGGGUUGUAUUAAAUUUUCGUUAAGAAAUUUUAAUGUUCCGAUGAUUAAUUGAUUAAAAAUAUUGAAUUAAAAAAAGGGUAUUCCCGGGAAUUUGUUCCGAUAAAUCGGACUCGUGAAUAUUUAUUAUAAAUAUUUACGAAGUUAGUUGUGUAGUUAAUUAGAUUUUGAUUAAGUGAAUUUGUCUAAAUUGAGGUUAAUUAUGAAAAAGGAUUAAAUUGCAAUAGAGAUAAAAGUUUAAUUAUAAAUUAAAGAAAAGUUAAAAGGACCAAAUAGGCAAUUAUGCCAUCAGCCUAAAUUGAGGCGGCAUAAUGAAAGAAAUAUCUGAGAUAUUUUAGUUUAUAUUAUAUUAUGUUUUCUUAAAUAAUAAGUAUAUUGUUAUAUUAUAUUAUUAUAUUAUUAUAUUAUUAUAAUAAAAGAAACAAUGAAAUAGAAGAUAGAAAAAGAGAAUAGAAACAGAGAGCAAAACGAAAACAGGGGAGAAAGGAAAGAAAAAGAAAAAGGGAAGGAAAGAAGGAAAAUUUGGGGUUUUAAGGUUCAAAGUUAAUUUGGUAAGUCAAUUUAAUCCAUUUUCUCUUAGUUUUGAUGUUUUUGGAAUCCUAGAGAUAAAUAUUGCUUGAUUUAUGUUGAUAUUUUGAAAGUUUAUUAGAUUAUUAGAUCUUGUUCAUGUUGAAUUAAUUGAUGAAUUAGGGGUUAAAUUGAUUGAAAUUCAAGUUAGAAGUUAAUAAAGGAUUUAAUUGUAAAAUAAAGUGUAAGUUUUGAAUAGUAGGGACUAAAUUGAAAGAAUCCCGAAAUUAGGAAUUUAUGAUAAAAAUGAAGAGUUAAAAUGAGUUUAUAGUAAGAAUUAAGAAAGAAUAUGGAGAUAGAUUGGGAAAAAUAAAGUUAGUAUUGAUAAGGGAUUAAAUUAGAAUUUAGGUAAAGUUUAGAUAUAAAUGAAAAUAUUUUGAUGAAAUUGUGUAUUAAUGAUUUUUAAUUGUUUAAUUACGUAGCUAAUGUCGUGCAAGAGUCAUUGUCCGAGAAAGGAAAUGAGAAGGUGAACAAUGAGUGACUCGAGAGAAAUUUCGGUUAGUAUUACCAUAAUUCGAAUUUAAUUAUUAAUUGUUGACAUUUAAAUUAAUAUACAUGAUAAGCAAAUUAAGGUAAAUAUCAUGAUUGAAUUGAAUAAAUAUAUAUAUAUAUAUAUAUACGUAUUGAUAUUGAAUUUAUUGAUAGUAAUUGUUAAAUUUUGAAUAAUAUGUUUAGUAAAUAAAAAUAAGGUGAAUCUCGAUAUUGAAUUAAAUGAAUUAAAAAUAUGAAUUGAAUAAAAGUGAACUAAAUUAUGAUUAUGUGUGAAUAUGUGAAUUGUGUGUAGAUUAAAAAAUGGUUUGAAUUGAAUCAAAGUAUGAUUUUAUGUGAAUAUCUGAAACAUGUAUUGGUAUUGAAUUGUAUAUUGAUUAGAAAGUAGGAAGUGAAUCUGAAUUGAAUUGUGAUUGAAUCGAAAGUGAAUUUGAAAUAGAAAAAUGUAUUGAAUCAAAUGGUGAUUAAAUUGGAAUGAUUUGAAUUGAAAUGAUGAGAAAGUGAUUGAAUUGAAAUGUGAUCCGGAAACCCUAUUAACUAGUCGGGCUGAGUCGGAUAUAGUUGGCAUGCCAUAGGAUUGGAAGAGUUCAGGGAUACUUCGACCUCGAGUCGAUGAGACACUGGGUGUCAUACUGUUACUUCGGAUAGAUUCGAUGAGGUACUGGGUACCAACUUACUUCGGCUUGGCCGAUGAGACACUGGGUGUCACUUUAUUGCUUCGAACUAUCCGAUGAGGCACUGGGUGUCAUUCUGGUGUGUUUGGUUGGAUCCGUGUAUCCGCCAAAGUCCGAGUCAAGUUAAUAGGGGUAAAUGAAUAAAUUAUGAUAAUAUAAAAUUUGUUGAAUGAUCUUGAAUAUGAAUUGAAAUAAGAUAUUCAAUUGAGACAUGGAAAUGAAAUGUAUGAACCAUUGGUUCAAGAAAUAGAUAACGAUAUAGUUCAUGAAAUGGUUUUGGUAGUAUAAGAUGAUGUAAAAAUAUAAAUAAAGAAAAGCAAAUUGAAAUAGCUAUUGCUAAGAAAUGAGAAGUGAAAAUAAAAUGAUUUGAAAUAGUGAAAUAAUAUGUGAAUUUAAUUGAAUACAAGUUAUUGAAAUUUAUUUAUGGAUUUAAUGAAUAAAUUGAGUGAUAAAAGAUUUUAAGUAUAAAUUGAAUAUAAAUAGAAAUGAUAAUGAAUGAGUUGAUAAAUUGAUUGAAUUUGUAUGAAUUUGGAAUGAGUUAUUAGAAUGAGAUGUGGAAAAAAAUUCAAUGAAAUUGAGACAGUGAAAUAAGGUACGAGUACAAUUAAAUACAAGAUUUAAAAUAUUGCUUAUUGUUAUUAAUUAUCAAGUUGAUUUAAAGUACGAAAUAAUUAAUGAAUAAUUGUAGACAUCAAUUAAAUGUAUAUAAUUUAUUGAUUAAUGUUAUUAAUUUGAAUUAUGGUAAUACCACUGAGUAUUCCUAUACUCAGUGUACGGUUGUUUCUGUGCGCAGGUUAAGUUAAAGUCGGAUUGUUGAAUCAGCAUCCAAAGCCGAUUCUAAACUAAUUGUGGUGGUGAACAUUUCUUUUAGGUAUGGCAUGUAUAGGAAUUUAGUCAUUUUGUAUGUUUGUAAUUAUAAUUUUGCUAUAGAAUGAUGUGUAAGUAUUUGACAAUGAAUGGUUGUUUAAAAGGUCAAGGAUGAAGUUAUUUGUUGUUAUAGAAGUCUAGGUGAUAAAUUAUGUACGAAAAUCAUGAAAGGGUAAAAUUUUGCAAAGAAACAGAAUUCAGGCAGCAACAGUGAUGUGACUUUGAAAAAUCACCUAGGAUAGUAUAAAGUGAAUUAGAGGGUGAAUGAUAUAUAGAAUUAAAUCUUGAUGAGUCUAUUUUCAUAGAAAAAUAACGGUUUAACAAAAGGAAUUUUAUAUUUUGAGAUAUGAGAAUUUUAAUAAGACAGGGUCGGUCAAAUUUGUUUUUGGAGUCCCCUGUUCUGAGUUUAGAAAAUCAUUAAAAACUGUAUAAAAAUGGUUAUAUAUGUAUAAAUUCCUUAUUGAGUCUAUUUUCUGUAGAAACAAGUAAGAAUUACAUAUGAAAAUCCUACAGUGAGAAAUUUUAUUUUUAGUGGCAAGAGGACAGGACAGUUAAGUAGUGAAAUAGGGAAGACUUUAACUAAUAAGCUGUACUAAUUGGCUGAACCAAAAAUUCUGAAAUUUUUAUGGUAAGUAGAUAUAUGAGUCUAGUUUCAGGAAAAAUUUACGGAGUUAAAUUUCAAGUUCCGUAGCUCGAUUUAUAAUUAAUUUAGUAAUUGCUGCGCGAUUAGACAGAUUGCUGUAAAUAGUGAAAUUAAUUUUCAAAACAAGUUUUUAUGCUUCGAAUUAGUGUGAUAAGCUAAGUAAUGUCUCGUGCUCGACUUCGGCAACGGUCUCGGGUAAGGGGUGUUACAUCUUCGUUCUUGGGUAUUAUCGAAAACUAUUUGUGAUUAUCCUCCAAACAUGGCAAUUAUUUGUUUGAAUGAAGAGCUUUUUCCUUGUCUUCUAAUAUGAGUAGCUCUCUCCAUUAAAAAAUGGUGGUCUCGCAAUUGAUUGACCAUCACCCAAGCUAGUUGCGCCAAAAUCUAGGCAUAGCAAUGGGCAGAGCAAGUAUUGCUAAAUACACUAUUGUUUUAUAUUUGGUACACUUUGCUCCACUACUUAGCCUGCUUCACUAUGGGUGUAUAAUAUUAAAAUUUACUACCACCUUCCUGGAUAUUAGAUGCAUCUAUUUCUGCUCCAACCUCGCUCCGCUUCAAUUUAAUUGUUACUACUUAUAUUUAAUAUUUUCAAUCUUUUUAAAGUCAAAUAAAUAAUUAAAUAUAUUUAUUCAAAAAAAUAUUUAAACAUAAAUAUAUAAUUUUGUAUAUUAUAUUAUUACAUUUUUACCCUUUUAAUAGUUUAUAUAUACAAUCAUAAAAUGAUAAUUUUAUAUAGUGGAGUGGAUUAGAGCAGGGCAAGCAAUUAAUUAUCAUAAUUGCUUCAUACCUAUUAUCCAAAAGAAAAAGUCACCCCGUCCCGCCUCGAAUCCACUUUUUAAACAAAAAAAAUUAACUCCAUUCAGAGUGAAUCAGUUUGGAUUUAUAAAAAAUUUAUAUGACAAAUAUUUAUGAUACACCCGUGAUGUAAGUGAAAAAAAUUCAAGUAAUAAUUAUAUUUAUAAAACAUUAUAAAAUAAAAAAUUUAAUUAAAAUGAUAAAAUUAAAGUUUUCAAAGAUAUAUCUUAAGUUUACAUCGCAUAAUAUUUAUAUCUUUUUCUAGAUUUAUAUAAAAAUAUUAAAAAUAAAAAAUUCUCACAAUAACAUUUCUUAUUUUAUGAAAAUGAAUUUUAAAUAAAUUUACAGCCGACUGAUAUCAACUUAAAAAGAAUUGCAUGUAUAUGGUCAAAGAACACGUGUUUGCAUUUGAAAGGCUGGCAUAAAAGGAGGCAGGAAAAUUGCCGUAAUUGGAUGCAUUGUUAAUGGUUUUUGUUAUAUAUAGAUUAUAAUUAAGAAAUUAUUAAUUAUGUAAUAAAUAUGUUUAUAAAACAAUAAAAUAGAUUUUGAAAUGUUAAAGUUGAGCUUUAAAAAUCAUAAAAUUUUCAUUUUUAAGAUUUAUUUUAAAUUUAAAUUUAAUUUAAUAGCUUUAAUAUAAAAAUAUAAAAACACUUUCAAAUAAUAUUUUUUACUUUUUCUUAAAUAAUUUUUUUAGAAUGAUUUAAUAGUCGAUUAAGUUUGUGACAUCACAUUACAUAUAAAAUCCAAUGCUACAUAAAUAUCAUGUUUAAAGUUUAAACACGUGUAAAAGAAAUCUGCUUCUUUGCUUACGACCUGCCAAGCGGGGGUCACUAACUUCAUAGUUACGAAGGAAUUCCAAAUAACGACCUUUUACUGUCACUGAACAUUAAAGUAAGGUUCGUGUCAAUUUCUAACUCGAAAAAUCAACCAUGUGAGUUGCUUUUUCGACUCUCCAUUGCCAAACCCCCCAAAUAAACCCACUAUAAAACACCCUUUUCUCAACCCCUUCCCCCCAUCAAUCUUGCUGUUAAUAAACACAACAAAAAUCUCAGCUAGCUAGCUUUUCCCCUCCAUUAAAAUCCAUGGCUUCCACCAUUAGCAGGAAGAUGACCUUGGCUGUCCUUGCUCUCGCAUUUUUCUCCUCUUGCUUACAAGCCACACUAGGUUAAUUUGCAUUAUUUGUUACAUUAAAUAGCAUUGCUUUAAGCCUUUUAAGAUUAUAACUAUAUGUGUGUGUGUUUUGUUGUAAGGGAAAUAAUAUGUGAACACCUUGACCAAGACACCUGUGCUUACGCGGUGGCGUCCACAGGCAAGCGCUGUGUGCUCGAGAAGCACAUCAAGAGGAGCUGUGAAGAAGAAUACACUUGUCGUACCUCCGAGAUCGAAGCCGAUAAGAUCAACAACUGGAUCGAAACCGAUCAGUGCGUUAAAUCGUGCGGCCUCGACCGGAAAUCAUUCGGUAUCUCCUCCGAUUCCCUCCUCGAGUCUUGCUUCACCGAAAUGCUUUGCUCUCCUCAAUGC
Molecule: long non-coding RNA, 10054 nt
Filed under: Gossypium raimondii (Peruvian cotton)
Lineage: Eukaryota; Viridiplantae; Streptophyta; Magnoliopsida; Malvales; Malvaceae
Description: long non-coding RNA (GRAI_LNC006809)
Source: RNAcentral